RNAcentral lists this ribosomal RNA (701 nucleotides) under Pseudomonas brenneri. RNAcentral describes it as "bacterial SSU rRNA". It matches the Rfam family "Bacterial small subunit ribosomal RNA", at positions 61 to 757 of the family's 1533-position model. The record is from RNAcentral. Lineage: Bacteria; Pseudomonadati; Pseudomonadota; Gammaproteobacteria; Pseudomonadales; Pseudomonadaceae.
GUCGAGCGGUAGAGAGAAGCUUGCUUCUCUUGAGAGCGGCGGACGGGUGAGUAAUGCCUAGGAAUCUGCCUGGUAGUGGGGGAUAACGUUCGGAAACGGACGCUAAUACCGCAUACGUCCUACGGGAGAAAGCAGGGGACCUUCGGGCCUUGCGCUAUCAGAUGAGCCUAGGUCGGAUUAGCUAGUUGGUGGGGUAAUGGCUCACCAAGGCGACGAUCCGUAACUGGUCUGAGAGGAUGAUCAGUCACACUGGAACUGAGACACGGUCCAGACUCCUACGGGAGGCAGCAGUGGGGAAUAUUGGACAAUGGGCGAAAGCCUGAUCCAGCCAUGCCGCGUGUGUGAAGAAGGUCUUCGGAUUGUAAAGCACUUUAAGUUGGGAGGAAGGGCAGUAAAUUAAUACUUUGCUGUUUUGACGUUACCGACAGAAUAAGCACCGGCUAACUCUGUGCCAGCAGCCGCGGUAAUACAGAGGGUGCAAGCGUUAAUCGGAAUUACUGGGCGUAAAGCGCGCGUAGGUGGUUCGUUAAGUUGGAUGUGAAAUCCCCGGGCUCAACCUGGGAACUGCAUUCAAAACUGACGAGCUAGAGUAUGGUAGAGGGUGGUGGAAUUUCCUGUGUAGCGGUGAAAUGCGUAGAUAUAGGAAGGAACACCAGUGGCGAAGGCGACCACCUGGACUGAUACUGACACUGAGGUGCGAA